ACCUUUAUACAGUAUAGUUCGUUGUAAGGUGUGUGCCCUUGAUCUAGCGGCUAUGAGGUCGGUCUCCAAAACCGUA
Molecule: transfer RNA, 76 nt
Filed under: Salmonella phage Maynard
Lineage: Duplodnaviria; Heunggongvirae; Uroviricota; Caudoviricetes; Pantevenvirales; Ackermannviridae
Description: tRNA-Trp
Source: RNAcentral